This 492-nucleotide ribosomal RNA is filed under the name uncultured bacterium. RNAcentral describes it as "partial 16S ribosomal RNA". It matches the Rfam family "Bacterial small subunit ribosomal RNA", at positions 29 to 507 of the family's 1533-position model. The record is from RNAcentral.
AGUGAACGCUGGCGGUAGGCCUAACACAUGCAAGUCGAACGGCAGCACAGUAAGAGCUUGCUCUUACGGGUGGCGAGUGGCGGACGGGUGAGGAAUACAGCGGAAUCUACUUUUUCGUGGGGGAUAACGUAGGGAAACUUACGCUAAUACCGCAUACGACCUACGGGUGAAAGCAGGGGAUCUUCCGACCUUGCGCGAAUGAAUGAGCCGAUGUCGGAUUAGCUAGUUGGCGGGGUAAAGGCCCACUAAGGCGACGAUACGUAGCUGGUCUGAGAGGAUGAUCAGCCACACUGGAACUGAGACACGGUCCAGACUCCUACGGGAGGCAGCAGUGGGGAAUAUUGGACAAUGGGCGCAAGCCUGAUCCAGCCAUACCGCGUGGGUGAAGAAGGCCUUCGGGUUGUAAAGCCCUUUUGUUGGGAAAGAAAAGCAGCAGGUUAAUACCCCGCUGUUCUGACGGUACCCAAAGAAUAAGCACCGGCUAACUUCGUG